Molecule: ribosomal RNA, 411 nt
Filed under: uncultured bacterium
Lineage: Bacteria
Description: bacterial SSU rRNA
Rfam family: Bacterial small subunit ribosomal RNA
Source: RNAcentral
AACGAACGCUGGCGGCGUGCCUAACACAUGCAAGUCGAACGAGAAAAUCGUAGCAAUACGGUGAGUAAAGUGGCGCACGGGUCAUUAACACGUGGAUAAUCUUCCUUCGGGCGAGGGACAACCUGUCGAAAGACGGGCUAAUACCUCAUAAGACCACGGGAUCUUCGGGUCCUGGGGUCAAAGGUGGCCUCUACUUGUAAGCUAUCACCUGAAGAUGAGUCCGCGCACCAUUAGCAGUUGGUAAGGUAACGGCUUACCAAGGCCAAGAUGGUUAGCUGGUCUGAGAGGACGACCAGCGACACUGGAACUGAGACACGGUCCAGACUCCUACGGGAGGCAGCAGUGGGGAAUCUUGCGCAAUGGGCGAAAGCCUGACGCAGCGACGCCGCGUGAGGGAUGACGGCCUCGGUU